RNAcentral lists this ribosomal RNA (340 nucleotides) under uncultured Glomeromycotina. RNAcentral describes it as "eukaryotic LSU rRNA". The record is from RNAcentral. Lineage: Eukaryota; Fungi; Glomeromycota.
AUCAGCCUUUUGGGUGUGAUUUUGUGGAGCGUGAAGAGUUAAACGCCUUCAUGCCUGCAUAUUCGUGCACUUUGGGUGUACUUGCCCGUAUGGUUGGUUAACAUCAAUUUCGGUGGUCAUAAAAUGACUGGAGGAAUGUAGCUUCGAUCUUGUAUUGAAGUGUUAUAGCCUUCGGUAGAUGUGAUGAUCGAGAUUGAGGAUUGCAACGGAUACCCUUCGGGGCUACCUGUCUGGUCUCUGAUCGUUGCUCUGGUGCCGAAAGCUUGCUUACGGUUAUCAAAGUCGAUGGUCAAUAGGUUAGAACAGGUUAAAUUUGUUAGGAUGUUGACGUAAUGGCUUU